GUUGAAGAGCUCAGCUCAGGAUGGGAUGGCUGGUCCCAGCAGCUGAUGGAAGCCUCCAGAGUGAGAUAGGAGAUUGCUUCUAUGGACUUCUCAAAGGUGGGUCAGGCUGUCAGGGGAGAACCCAGAGGCUGUAUGUGGCCAUGGCUACAGGAUCGACGGGGCAUGAGCUGGAGAAGAAGCAGCCACGCCAUGCGGCAUGUGGGAUCUCAGUUCCCCGACCAGGGAUUGAACCCGCACCUCCUGCAGUGGAAUUGUGGAGUCUUAACUACUAGACUGCCAGGGAAGUCCCUGCAUUUUUAAUAAGCAUCUUAGAUAGAGCUUAAUGGGGAGUAACGUUUGGAUGUAUCAUCUAUGAAAAGAAUCUCAAGAUCACUUGCCUCUCUGACGUAUGGAAUUUCUUCUUUUUUGUACAUUCUUCAGCUUUUGGUUUUAAUUGUGUCCUUGUAGUCUCUUGGGAUAGGAAUGCCUCUCCUGGAUUAUUUUCUCCACUGUGUCUAGGAAGUCUGCAUCUUUCCGAAUGAGUUGUGCUGUCAAAGAGUGUCCCUAGAAAUCUUUCAUGUUCUAUCUAAGAGGAAGAUGACUUGCAUUUAUAGCACACAGUAUAGGCAGUGACCUUGGGCAAGAAGAAAAGCAAUGAUAUUAAUACCAUAUAUUUGAAUAAUGUUCUACAGUUCACAAUUAAGAAAUUGAGGUUCAAAGAAGACAAGGCCUUACCAUAGGUCAGUGGACUUAUAUAUGGAAGGAUGGGUCCUGGAGUCAGGGUCUUCCAACAACUGGCCUGCUGAUGCUGACACAUGCCACCCAACGGCCUCCUGAAUGGCUUUCGUGCACAUACCUUGUUCAAGUAUGUGGAGGAGACCAAACUGAAAAGAAAGCAUCAUAGGUUUUAGACUGAAACAAAUCAGGGCUAACCAGAAGAAACCUUUUAGGCCAAAGGCCACUUGAGGUGGCCCUGGUUCCUCCAUGUUUCACUCACUGGCUCCUUGUAUCUGCUGGACCUGCAUUUCCAUUCACCAUGUCUCAGGAGGAAAACGAUUCUAGUGACCUCGCUGUAGGGAGAUGGGAGCCUCAGGCAUCUUAUCAAACUGCCAGGCUGUUCUACAUAAGCAGGGCUCUUGGCUCUGGUGUAGGAAAGCAAUGCCAUUGUCGGCUAACACUCAAGCAUCUUGGCGAACUUGCUAAGUGUGUGGGGAGCCCUAACCACUGUUGUUGGCGGGAAGACCAAGCUAUCACUUGUACCUCACUUUCAGAAUUCGGCCCUGUUUAAAUUAAGCUCUGCAGGUGGAGUCCUGGAUUGUGAGAAGGAUACAAAGCCUGAGGACACGUUGGCAUUUAUUCCUCAUGCUGCUUCUGAGGACACACAAGAGGGUGUUCCGGCCAAAUUAGCCAGUUAUCGGUUCCUCGAGUAACUUUGGUUUUGGACACCUGACUUGACUCUGUGAGCGAGCAGGCAGCUGUUUUCCCUGAGUGUGUUUGCCUCUUGGCUUUCCUGUCACUACAUGAACGUUCAGCCCACGGAUUUCUGUUAUCUAAUCAGGUGCAUCGGUCCGCGGUGGAGAUGAGAGGGGAGGAACACCCCUCUGACUCAGAUUUUGCACAAACAAAACUCAGCCUUGUUAACAAAGGCAGGGAGGAGUGCCCACGGCUGCUCAGAUCAGAUCUUCCCCGACAAUCUGCGGGGCAGUGCAGAUGGGUGGGUUUUUAUGGCAAGAUAAGCAACUGGAGGGCUCCACUUUGGUAUGCUAAAUAAAAUUAAAAUGUCAAUAUUUACACAUGAC
Molecule: long non-coding RNA, 1778 nt
Organism: Aethalodelphis obliquidens (Pacific white-sided dolphin)
Lineage: Eukaryota; Metazoa; Chordata; Mammalia; Artiodactyla; Delphinidae
Exons: 7
Source: RefSeq, a predicted model, not a curated record